This 325-nucleotide ribosomal RNA is filed under the name uncultured eukaryote. Its description in RNAcentral is "partial 18S ribosomal RNA". It matches the Rfam family "Eukaryotic small subunit ribosomal RNA", at positions 1470 to 1796 of the family's 1831-position model. The record is from RNAcentral.
CCCUUAGAUGUUCUGGGCCGCACGCGCGCUACACUGAUGCAUUCAACGAGCCUAUCCUUGACCGACAGGUCCGGGUAAUCUUUGAAUCUGCAUCGUGACGGGGAUAGAUUAUUGCAAUUAUUAAUCUUCAACGAGGAAUGCCUAGUAGGCGCAAGUCAUCAGCUUGCGUCGAUUACGCCCCUGCCCUUUGUACACACCGCCCGUCGCUCCUACCGAUUGGGUGUGCUGGUGAAAUGUUCGGAUCGGCCGUUUGUCGCGGUUUCCGCGUCAUGUGGCUGAGAAGUUCAUUAAACCCUCCCACCGAGAGGAAGGAGAAGUCGUAACA